Long non-coding RNA from Sciurus carolinensis (gray squirrel), 994 nucleotides. RefSeq lists it as uncharacterized. NCBI's taxonomy places the organism in Eukaryota, Metazoa, Chordata, Mammalia, Rodentia, Sciuridae. The record is from RefSeq and is a predicted model, not a curated record. The transcript has 3 exons.
AGGUCGAUCUGCGGAUCACAUUUUGAGUAUCAAGUCUCCAGUGGGUCAUGAGCUCCCCGUGACCCAGAUCGUGGCUGUGAUUUCUGCAGCCUUGAUGUUCUCCUCCAUGAAGUGGCUUUAUCAUAUCUUGCCCAUGGUUGAAACUGGCACUUGAAAAUUAAUCAGGGAUUUUAGAAAGUGCCCCGUGGACCAUCGGCCUCUGAGUCACGUUGUGUUUUGAAGUUGCUGAUAUGGAUUAAAAUAGUGACAAGAUAAGGUCUCAUAAUGAAACCGAGCGUGCUGCCAGCUGGGAACGGAGUGUGGGGGACUGUUUAGUAAUCAAGCGGCACACCCGACUCCCCACCACGCCCCUUCUGUACUUUCUAACAGUCUCAUCUCAGACCCAGGAGCAAAGCCACUGGAGGAAGCACUUGGUUAUUGCCCAGACUCUGUGGGCUCUGAAGAGAAACAGAACUACCUUUGAACCUAGUAUCUCCGGGUUCUAGACUGGAGAAACUAGGGCAGGUUCCGAUGGUCCAGCGGUCAUCUACCACAUGAAGUAAAAAUGAACUUGAAAUACUGCUCUAGCGUGGGUGCUAAACCAAAGGCCCCUUGCUAAAGGCUCAGGCCCCCAGAGAGUACUCUUGGAAGGAGGUAGGACUUAGGAAGUGGGAUCUCGUGGGGGUCCUCGGGUCACGGGGGGAGGGCCGUUAGAGGGGACUGCAGGGCCCUGGUCUCUUCCUGGCUCCCUCUUUGCUCCCUGGUUGAGGAUGGAAAUGGUUUGCCCCCAGCUGCCCUCUGGCCAUGAUGUACUGGCCUUGCCCAAGGCCCAGAGCAACAGGGCCACCUGAUCUUGGACUGGAACCUACAGAACUGUGAGCCAAAGUAAGAUUUUUUUAGAAAUAUAAAUUGAUAUAAUAUGGUAGAAGCUAUUGUUAAAAAUAAGUUUACAUAUUUUUGGCACCUUUGUCUAGUAUAAGAAAAUUGCAUUUAUUUGGGUUUGUGUCCGUGUCCU